Molecule: non-coding RNA, 347 nt
Organism: Pelobates cultripes (western spadefoot toad)
Lineage: Eukaryota; Metazoa; Chordata; Amphibia; Anura; Pelobatidae
Source: the annotation of a GenBank genome assembly
GGAUUGUGAGAGCUCCUCCACUGCAUGGAAGAUUUUUGGCAUGAAACCCGAAAUUUCAGCUAAUCUGACGCUGCAGCUGCUUGAUGUACAGGGGAGCGAGCUAUGGCAACUCCUGAAACUACUUUCCGAUCUCCAAGGCUUCUGACGGCCUGCCACAUGUGCUUGGCUGGGAGACGCGGCUGGUCUCCCUCCACACAGAAAACUCAACCGCAGUCUGGGUCGUGCUACUCCCCAUUCUGGACCGGUGGGGGUCAUCCCGGUCCCCUACAGUUCUGAGCAGCAUUAUGCACCUGGGUCCCGGCAAAUUAGCAUUUAGUCCCACGCUAUACCUCUAUAACAGAUGUCGC